Molecule: long non-coding RNA, 102 nt
Organism: Etheostoma cragini (Arkansas darter)
Lineage: Eukaryota; Metazoa; Chordata; Actinopteri; Perciformes; Percidae
Exons: 3
Source: RefSeq, a predicted model, not a curated record
GAAACCUGCUUUUCAUCUUAGAAAAUCUCAACAUUCUCUUGUGAAAUAACCAUUUGCAGCACCACAAUUCAACUGGCCAUAAGUUCUACAGAAAGGAAGAAA